RNAcentral lists this ribosomal RNA (1746 nucleotides) under Triticum aestivum (bread wheat). RNAcentral describes it as "partial small subunit ribosomal RNA". The record is from RNAcentral. Lineage: Eukaryota; Viridiplantae; Streptophyta; Magnoliopsida; Poales; Poaceae.
UGACCGGUGACCGGUCUCCGGUGACGGUUAGAGGAGCGGCUCGAGGUGCGGUACUAGUAGUGGUGGCGGCGGAAGGGCAGGCACAGGAGGAAGGUGGCGGGCGCGGAGUCCGGGACGGGCGCGGCGCGGCAGGAGGUGGAGCAGGCCAGCCGGCGGAGGAGGAGGAGGAGGAGCACCCUCCUCGCGCUCCUUUGCGCCACCGAGGCGCUCCUCGUCGCGACCGACGCCCUCCUCGUCGCCACCGAGGCGCUCCUCAGCGCGACCGCACGGCUCGCGCUCCGGGAGGAGAGGCUCUAGUGCCGCGAGGCAGACGCGGAGGCGCGCGAGCUCGGACGACGGCGCGGGCACGGAGGAGGGCGUGGCCGCCGACGCGCGCAGCGAGGCGGAGGCGGAGGGGGGCGUGGCCAACGCGCGCAACGAGGCGGAGGCGGAGGCGGGCGCGGACGCCGUGCGCACCGCGGUGGAGGCGGCGGGCACGGCCUCGGCCACCUCCUCCAGCUCCACUCCUUCCUCCACCACCACCAGCUCCUCUUCCGGUUCCGCUUCGGCUUUGGCUUCCGACCCCGGCCGUCGCCGUUCUUCGCCCGCGACUCCCAUCCCUCGCUUCCUCUCCUUCACGCCCGCUACGUCCUUCGGAACCUUUUCGAGCCAAAGAUGAGCCCGCUUCUCCUGUGCCUCAAGAGGUCGAAGAGUUGGCCGUGGCUUGCUCGGCAGUUCUGUACCGUCCGUAGCUAUCCAUGAUGUCUCCUACCCGACUACUGUAGCCUCGAUGAGCUCUACGAUAAGUGUCCUGCCUGGCUCCUGCUAGAGUUUUUCCUUCCGCAUUUGCCUCGUGAACAAGGAGGAUAUUGUCUUUGGCGUCUCCAAGUCGUUGGACACCACCUUUUUUAACUGAUGUUGUUUGUGUCUCACAUGGAAGAGCCGCUCUUGGCCACCCUUCUAGGUAGGUCCGAUUGGUUCUUCCUAUUCGGCUAGUCGCCAAGAUGACGGCGCAGCUGUUUCGUCACGUAGUGGACGGCUCCGCUUCCGGCGGAGGACACGGAUCUUACACUACCUUGUCCACUCGGGUUGUAACUUGGUGUCAAGAACCUCACCCAACCGCUUCUGUGUUUCACGGGUAUGACACUUCCGGAACCGAUGUGAUAUACACUACAAACAGUUCCCUAAUUUUGUCACGUGUCAAUUUCGUUUCCUGAAUACUCGUUGUAAGUCGGAAUCAACUUGUAGAUAUCGUCGAAUAUAUCUACAAUUGAUUGAUAAGGUGAAAACAACGCCAUAAAAACUUUAUAUAUUAGUGUAACAGUAGGAUGUGGUGUCUUUUGUCUACGUAUCUCCGAUCCAUUAUGAGGAUGAAUGAUACAUGUUAUCUUCUACCCCUUUUAUUGCUUCCUUCGCCAACGAAACAGUUAGUUCGAACAUUUUAACCGUACGUAAGUUUAUAAAAGUGGUAAGUAUUAUAAAUGUCCUUUUGCAUAAAUAUAGACAGUCACUCAUACACUAGAAGACGUUCUGAUACCACCUGAUACCACCUGACGUCAAAUGUGCCCUUCGUACGUAAUUUGUAUGAUCGACGAUACGAACAUGUCUUCCUACUUGUUACGGACGUUUCAUACUGGUUGUUACUCUUUCGAUGACUCUUGUCUACGACUAAAGGACUACUGUUAAGGUCAUUGUCCUCUAUUUUGUAUGUUGUAUAGCUACCUCAAUUGGUUCUAUAAUGACGAUUUCUUUUUGCGACCGACGAAG